ACGUAGGUCACAAGCGUUGUCCGGAAUUACUGGGUGUAAAGGGAGCGCAGGCGGGAGAACAAGUUGGGAGUGAAAUCCAUGGGCUCAACCCAUGAACUGCUUUCAAAACUGUUUUUCUUGAGUAGUGCAGAGGUAGGCGGAAUUCCCGGUGUAGCGGUGGAAUGCGUAGAUAUCGGGAGGAACACCAGUGGCGAAGGCGGCCUACUGGGCACCAACUGACGCUGAGGCUCGAAAGUGUGGGUAGCAAACAG
Molecule: ribosomal RNA, 251 nt
Filed under: uncultured bacterium
Lineage: Bacteria
Description: partial 16S ribosomal RNA
Rfam family: Bacterial small subunit ribosomal RNA
Source: RNAcentral